RNAcentral lists this ribosomal RNA (468 nucleotides) under uncultured bacterium. RNAcentral's name for it is "partial 16S ribosomal RNA". It matches the Rfam family "Bacterial small subunit ribosomal RNA", at positions 28 to 507 of the family's 1533-position model. The record is from RNAcentral.
GACGAACGCUGGCGGCGUGCUUAACACAUGCAAGUCGAACGGUGAGGGGGGGACUUCCUUCGCUGCCAGAGUGGCGAACGGGUGUGUAACACGUGAGUAAUCUGCCCUUGACUUCGGAAUAACUACAGGAAACUGGGGCUAAUACCGGCUAUGCGCCGGAGAUGCAUCGGUAUCGUUGGAAAAUAGCUUCGGUAAGGGAUGGGCUCGCGGCCUAUCAGCUUGUUGGUGGGGUAACGGCUCACCCAGGCAACGACGGGUAGCCGGCCUGAGAGGGUGACCGGGCACAUUAGGACUGAGACACGGCCCAGACUGCUACGGGAGGCAGCAGUGGGGAAGAUGGCACAAUGGGCGGAAGUCUGAUGCAGCAACGCCGCGUGAGGGAUGACGGCCUUCGGGUUGUAAACCUCUUUCUGCUGGGAAGAAGCGUGAGUGACGGUACCGGCAAAAGAAGCGCCGGCUAACUACGUG